RNAcentral lists this ribosomal RNA (1428 nucleotides) under Lacticaseibacillus rhamnosus. RNAcentral's name for it is "bacterial SSU rRNA". It matches the Rfam family "Bacterial small subunit ribosomal RNA". RNAcentral also lists the same sequence under 2 other names. The record is from RNAcentral. Lineage: Bacteria; Bacillati; Bacillota; Bacilli; Lactobacillales; Lactobacillaceae.
GAGUAACACGUGGGUAACCUGCCCUUAAGUGGGGGAUAACAUUUGGAAACAGAUGCUAAUACCGCAUAAAUCCAAGAACCGCAUGGUUCUUGGCUGAAAGAUGGCGUAAGCUAUCGCUUUUGGAUGGACCCGCGGCGUAUUAGCUAGUUGGUGAGGUAACGGCUCACCAAGGCAAUGAUACGUAGCCGAACUGAGAGGUUGAUCGGCCACAUUGGGACUGAGACACGGCCCAAACUCCUACGGGAGGCAGCAGUAGGGAAUCUUCCACAAUGGACGCAAGUCUGAUGGAGCAACGCCGCGUGAGUGAAGAAGGCUUUCGGGUCGUAAAACUCUGUUGUUGGAGAAGAAUGGUCGGCAGAGUAACUGUUGUCGGCGUGACGGUAUCCAACCAGAAAGCCACGGCUAACUACGUGCCAGCAGCCGCGGUAAUACGUAGGUGGCAAGCGUUAUCCGGAUUUAUUGGGCGUAAAGCGAGCGCAGGCGGUUUUUUAAGUCUGAUGUGAAAGCCCUCGGCUUAACCGAGGAAGUGCAUCGGAAACUGGGAAACUUGAGUGCAGAAGAGGACAGUGGAACUCCAUGUGUAGCGGUGAAAUGCGUAGAUAUAUGGAAGAACACCAGUGGCGAAGGCGGCUGUCUGGUCUGUAACUGACGCUGAGGCUCGAAAGCAUGGGUAGCGAACAGGAUUAGAUACCCUGGUAGUCCAUGCCGUAAACGAUGAAUGCUAGGUGUUGGAGGGUUUCCGCCCUUCAGUGCCGCAGCUAACGCAUUAAGCAUUCCGCCUGGGGAGUACGACCGCAAGGUUGAAACUCAAAGGAAUUGACGGGGGCCCGCACAAGCGGUGGAGCAUGUGGUUUAAUUCGAAGCAACGCGAAGAACCUUACCAGGUCUUGACAUCUUUUGAUCACCUGAGAGAUCAGGUUUCCCCUUCGGGGGCAAAAUGACAGGUGGUGCAUGGUUGUCGUCAGCUCGUGUCGUGAGAUGUUGGGUUAAGUCCCGCAACGAGCGCAACCCUUAUGACUAGUUGCCAGCAUUUAGUUGGGCACUCUAGUAAGACUGCCGGUGACAAACCGGAGGAAGGUGGGGAUGACGUCAAAUCAUCAUGCCCCUUAUGACCUGGGCUACACACGUGCUACAAUGGAUGGUACAACGAGUUGCGAGACCGCGAGGUCAAGCUAAUCUCUUAAAGCCAUUCUCAGUUCGGACUGUAGGCUGCAACUCGCCUACACGAAGUCGGAAUCGCUAGUAAUCGCGGAUCAGCACGCCGCGGUGAAUACGUUCCCGGGCCUUGUACACACCGCCCGUCACACCAUGAGAGUUUGUAACACCCGAAGCCGGUGGCGUAACCCUUUUAGGGAGCGAGCCGUCUAAGGUGGGACAAAUGAUUAGGGUGAAGUCGUAACAAGGUAGCCGUAGGAGAACCUGCGGCUG